UACGGAGGAGGCAAGCGUUAUCCGGAAUUAUUGGGCGUAAAGCGUCCGUAGAUGGUCGUUUCAAGUCUGCUGUCAAAGACCGGGGCUUAACCCUGGAAAGGCCGUGGAAACUGAAGAGCUAGAGUGCAGUAGGGGUAGAGGGAAUUCCCGGUGUAGCGGUGAAAUGCGUAGAGCUCGGGAAGAACAUCGGUGGCGAAAGCGCUCUGCUGGACUGCAACUGACACUCAGGGACGAAAGCUAGGGGAGCGAAUGGG
Molecule: ribosomal RNA, 254 nt
Filed under: uncultured bacterium
Lineage: Bacteria
Description: partial 16S ribosomal RNA
Rfam family: Bacterial small subunit ribosomal RNA
Source: RNAcentral